UACGUAGGGGGCUAGCGUUAUCCGGAAUUACUGGGCGUAAAGGGUGCGUAGGUGGUUUCUUAAGUCAGAGGUGAAUGGCUACGGCUCAACCGUAGUAAGCCUUUGAAACUGAGAAACUUGAGUGCAGGAGAGGAGAGUAGAAUUCCUAGUGUAGCGGUGAAAUGCGUAGAUAUUAGGAGGAAUACCAGUUGCGAAGGCGGCUCUCUGGACUGUAACUGACACUGAGGCACGAAAGCGUGGGGAGCAAACAGGAUUAGAUACCCCUGUAGUCCCU
RNAcentral lists this ribosomal RNA (274 nucleotides) under uncultured prokaryote. RNAcentral describes it as "partial 16S ribosomal RNA". It matches the Rfam family "Bacterial small subunit ribosomal RNA", at positions 524 to 798 of the family's 1533-position model. The record is from RNAcentral.